UCCUGCCAAUGCAGGUCUCGAUCGAUCGGAGUGUCGCCGGCGCCAGCGAUCAGAGAUCGCGGAGCGCUGGAGGAGGUCGCGGAGCGCAGGAGGAGAUCGGGAGGAGAUCGCUGAGCGCCGAGCGCUGGAGGUGUGAUAUUUCGCCACUGCGGAGCAAUCUGGGAAGGAUCGCCAUGGCUUGUUGGUUAGGGUCGUGGUUCUUGGAAUUCCCGGCGGCACGGUCGUCCGGAACGCUUUCUUCCAGCGCCAGCAGCAGCAGCCUGGUCAGGAUCGAAUGGAAGUCGACGAAUGUAUUGCCCGAGGUAGGUACUGUGAUCACAGGCGGUGGAACGUAUUUGUCUUGCAGGAGCUCAUAACGCUGUCUCACCGCUCACUCGCGGCUCACUCGCGGUCCCUGUCUGGAAACUCACGCUGGCUGCCGAGUUUAGCGUCUCGUUCGUGCUUCUGUGCCGUGCUAUGGCGUGGGAGAAAGCCACCACGUCACGGAGCUUGGAGCCGGAAGAAGUGAGAAGUUGAUGUGGAUUACGAUCGCGAGGGUACUUUUUUCACAGGCAAGGUGGUAUAGUGUUGUCCGAUUCGCUUGCCCUGGAAACCUGUACUGGAAGAUUUAACCAUGCAGAGGGGGAGGCAUGGAAACACUGCCCCUUUAUCCCCUACGAGAGCGCGCUCUUCGCCGAGCUGUUGAAGCACCUGAACGCAGCUGGCUUAAUGCGUGGUUGUGGACUGGCAUUUCUUACGCGAAUGACGUUGCAGCUGGGACUCCAAGACGUCUAGGCAGUCCGAAUGCUUGGUCACAUCGUGUUCUCUUACUUUGAUCGGAGUGUUGCUGCUCAACAGAAACUUGCACAAGCGCUCCUCUUGGAAUGCCACCUUCAAACGGAGUCAUCCUGCAGUCUCGAAGAGCCUAGCAACGAUGAAACACCAGAUUAACUGUAAAGGCGGCAAAGUCAGUCACCAAUAACAACGAAAGCUGGGGCAGCAUUACGGUAACUUACAAUCAGCGUACAAGGAGAUUGGAAUCGCCACUUCGGUUUCAGCCAGCAUCAUCUCGGGUACAUGGCCUUUCCAAACUGAAAAACGCUGAGAAUGACAUACAAUUCCAGGUAGCAAGUAUGGACAUUCUUUACAGGAUCAAAAACACUGGUGUCAAAUUUGCCGAAGUGUAUCGAGGCUGCGUCGGUGCCAUGCCAGUCAUCAAGGGAAUUAGAGAAGCUUCUGUUUGCCGGCAGUUCGCUCUUUAGCCGAAGAUUCAAGGUUCUGGAGGACGUGCAUGCCGCACUCUUCCAGUUCGUCUAUCUCCUGGCCUGUGCUCGUGCCGAGCUUUCGACUUGGCGCUCUCUCCUGGGCAGCAGACGGCAUUCUAUGGAAGUAGUCCCACGCGCGCUGGACUGGGUGAAGGCGCGGAUCCUUGUGUCAAGGACACUGUGUUCUUCCACUCCAUCGGCUCAACUUCUUAGGCGUAUCAUGGUGUUUUCAGAAAAGAGAUCCUCUCUCAAAUAACGAAGGACCGGCUCGACAGUAUGCUGAUAUCAAA
Selaginella moellendorffii is the source of this 1534-nucleotide long non-coding RNA. RefSeq lists it as uncharacterized. The record is from RefSeq and is a predicted model, not a curated record. Lineage: Eukaryota; Viridiplantae; Streptophyta; Lycopodiopsida; Selaginellales; Selaginellaceae. The transcript is spliced from 8 exons.